AUUGAACGCUGGCGGAAUGCUUUACACAUGCAAGUCGAACGGCAGCACGGGGGCAACCCUGGUGGCGAGUGGCGAACGGGUGAGUAAUACAUCGGAACGUGCCCAGUCGUGGGGGAUAACGUAGCGAAAGUUACGCUAAUACCGCAUACGAUCUACGGAUGAAAGCGGGGGACCGUAAGGCCUCGCGCGAUUGGAGCGGCCGAUGUCAGAUUCGGUAGUUGGUGAGGUAAAGGCUCACCAAGCCGACGAUCUGUAGCUGGUCUGAGAGGACGACCAGCCACACGGGGACUGGUACACGUCCCAUACUCCUACGGGAGGCAGCAGUGGGGAAUUUUGGACAAUGGGCGCAAGCCUGAUCCAGCCAUUCCGCGUGCAGGACGAAGGCCUUCGGGUUGUAAACUGCUUUUGUACGGAACGAAAAGGCUCUGGUUAAUACCUGGGGCUCAUGACGGUACCGUAAGAAUAAGCACCGGCUAACUACGUGCCAGCCGCCGCGGUAA
RNAcentral lists this ribosomal RNA (500 nucleotides) under uncultured bacterium. RNAcentral's name for it is "partial 16S ribosomal RNA". It matches the Rfam family "Bacterial small subunit ribosomal RNA", at positions 30 to 523 of the family's 1533-position model. The record is from RNAcentral.